Molecule: transfer RNA, 87 nt
Filed under: Roseococcus sp. SYP-B2431
Lineage: Bacteria; Pseudomonadati; Pseudomonadota; Alphaproteobacteria; Acetobacterales; Roseomonadaceae
Description: tRNA-Leu
Rfam family: tRNA
About the family: Transfer RNA (tRNA) molecules are approximately 80 nucleotides in length. Their secondary structure includes four short double-helical elements and three loops (D, anti-codon, and T loops).
Source: RNAcentral
GCCCGGAUGGCGAAAUGGUAGACGCAAGGGUCUUAAAAACCCUGACCUUUCAAGGGUAUGCGGGUUCGAGUCCCGCUCCGGGCACCA